GGGUUUUUUAAAGGUGGCCGCCGCAAGGCUUGAAAAAGUCUUGAGGAGGAAAGUCCGAACACUAUUGGAAGGGAUAACCGGUAACGCCGGUCGAUAUGAUUGAAAAAUCAUGUCCGGGAAAGUGCCACAGAGACUAUACUAGUUCCGCUUCGGCGGGAUGAAAGGUGAAAAGCCCUCUUUUAAAGGGGGAGGUCCCGAGCAAUCGGGAAAACUUGGAAAACCCUAUCUGGUGCAAGGCGGGAUGGUAGAGCCGAAAUUACUGUUUCCAACAGUCCGGAUCUACCCGCUGCUCGACCUCUCAUGAGCAAUCUGAGAGGCUAGAUAGAUGGCCACAUUUUGUUCGCUUCUGCGAAUAGAAUUACAAAAUUCGGCUUAUACUUAAAACCUUAAA
Molecule: RNase P RNA, 391 nt
Filed under: Candidatus Peregrinibacteria bacterium
Lineage: Bacteria; Candidatus Peregrinibacteriota
Description: RNase P RNA component class A
Rfam family: Bacterial RNase P class A
About the family: Ribonuclease P (RNase P) is a ubiquitous endoribonuclease, found in archaea, bacteria and eukarya as well as chloroplasts and mitochondria.
Source: RNAcentral